UGCUUGGGAAUAUGCCUUCAGGUGGGGGACAACAGUUGGAAACGACUGCUAAUACCGCAUAACGUGCUUUUUGUGGUGAAAAGUACCAAAGGGGGGGGCUCUUCGGACCUCUUGCCUAAAGAUUAGCCCAAGUGAGAUUAGCUAGUUGGUGAGGUAAUGGCUCACCAAGGCGACGAUCUCUAGCUGGUUUGAGAGGAUGAUCAGCCACACUGGGACUGAGACACGGCCCAG
Molecule: ribosomal RNA, 231 nt
Filed under: uncultured bacterium
Lineage: Bacteria
Description: partial 16S ribosomal RNA
Rfam family: Bacterial small subunit ribosomal RNA
Source: RNAcentral